GACGAACGCUGGCGGCGUGCUUAACACAUGCAAGUCGAACGGGCCUUGUCCCCUUUUUUUUUGGGGGUGGGGUUAGUGGCGAACGGGUGAGUAACACGUGAGUAACCUGCCCCUCACUUCUGGAUAACCGCUUGAAAGGGUGGCUAAUACUGGGUGUUCUGGCCUGCUCGCAUGGUUGGGUUUGGAAAGAUUCUACCGGUUUUGGUUGUUUUGGUGGGGGAUGGGCUCGCGGCCUAUCAGCUUGUUGGUGGUGUGAUGGACUGCCAAGGCUUUGACGGGUAGCGGGCGUGAGAGGGUGGGCGGUCACACUGGGACUGAGACACGGCACAGACUCCUACGGGAGGCAGCAGUGGGGAAUAUUGCACAAUGGGAGCAAGCCUGAUGCAGCGACGCCGCGUGAGGGAUGGAGGCCUUCGGGUUGUGACCCUCUUUCGACAGUGAAGAAGGUCCUGCUCUUUGUGGUGGGGUUGACGGUAGCUGGGUUAAUGAAGCGCCGGCUAACUACGUG
Molecule: ribosomal RNA, 508 nt
Filed under: uncultured bacterium
Lineage: Bacteria
Description: partial 16S ribosomal RNA
Rfam family: Bacterial small subunit ribosomal RNA
Source: RNAcentral